UAGAGUGGAGUAAAUGGUGUGGAAGGAGGGUGAGCUGAGCUGGUGGGUGUCACUCAGAAGGGUGAAGUAGGAAUGUGGGGUUCUAGCAGAGUUGAAUGGACCAAAUGAGGAAGGGAUAUUGCAAUAGAAGGAUUGGGGAUUAAAUUUGGGACAGAUGAACAUGUGGGAAACCAGUAGGGCCCCACUUCAAGCAUUGAGAUGUUUGGAGAGACUCCAUCAACCCCCAACAAUUCAACAACAUAUGCUUCUGUUCCCUGGAGUUUAGAAGAAUGGACGGCAGAGGGGAUGAAAUGAAAGAGAGAGAUGGUUAAGAUCCGUUCAGCUUAGAAGCUGCUGCCUGGAGUAACGGCCAAUGUGUCAGGUGCCCAGGACUCUACCAGCCAGUCACUGACCUUUCCUUCACAGGACACGUACGGUGUCUUCCCUUCGCCAGGCUGGAGGAGCAGAGAAAGGUUCACCAUCAGAUGUCCGACCGCUGGAAUACGACCCCUUUCCAAACGUUGGAAUGCUGUGUAAGAAGGUUAUUAAAG
Molecule: long non-coding RNA, 530 nt
Organism: Rhincodon typus (whale shark)
Lineage: Eukaryota; Metazoa; Chordata; Chondrichthyes; Orectolobiformes; Rhincodontidae
Exons: 3
Source: RefSeq, a predicted model, not a curated record